GACAGCAGAAUACUCAGUAGGUGUGUCAUCUGUUCAACGAUGAUGUACCCCUAUAUCUCACCUGUAUGCCAUACCAGUGUCACCACUCCUUGGUUAAGAGGACAACCAACUCAUAUGGCAUACAACGACCUCCACUCGAUAAACGUCAUCAUCCUGUAAUGAUGUAUCAUUUGAUCGCGAACAUAUUUUAGAACUAUACGAUA
Molecule: long non-coding RNA, 203 nt
Filed under: Elaeis guineensis (African oil palm)
Lineage: Eukaryota; Viridiplantae; Streptophyta; Magnoliopsida; Arecales; Arecaceae
Description: long non-coding RNA (EGUI_LNC078876)
Source: RNAcentral